CCACGCCCGCUCAAGAAACUACGAAAGGAAGUUGGACGGGGGCCCCGCACAAGGCGGUGGAGCAUGUGGUUUAAUUCGAUGAUACGCGAGGAACCUUACCUGGGCUACAAAUGUAUGUUGACGUAUUCUGAAAGGGAUACUUCUCGGACAAUAUACAAGGUGCUGCAUGGUUGUCGUCAGCUCGUGCCGUGAGGUGUCGGGUUAAGUCCCAUAACGAGCGCAACCCCUAUCAUUAGUUGCCAUCAGGUCAAGCUGGGGACUCUAAUGAAACUGCCUACGCAAGUAGUGAGGAAGGUGGGGAUGACGUCAAAUCAGCACGGCCCUUACGUCCAGGGCUACACACGUGCUACAAUGGCCGAUACAGAGGGCAGCUACCUGGUGACAGGAUGCAAAUCUCCAAAGUCGGUCUCAGUUCGGAUCGGAGUCUGCAACCCGACUCCGUGAAGUUGGAUUCGCUAGUAAUCGCGCAUCAGCCAUGGCGCGGUGAAUACGUUCCCGGGCCUC
Molecule: ribosomal RNA, 504 nt
Filed under: uncultured Sphingobacteriales bacterium
Lineage: Bacteria; Pseudomonadati; Bacteroidota; Sphingobacteriia; Sphingobacteriales
Description: bacterial SSU rRNA
Rfam family: Bacterial small subunit ribosomal RNA
Source: RNAcentral